RNAcentral lists this ribosomal RNA (363 nucleotides) under Ensifer meliloti. RNAcentral's name for it is "Sinorhizobium meliloti bacterial SSU rRNA". It matches the Rfam family "Bacterial small subunit ribosomal RNA", at positions 995 to 1357 of the family's 1533-position model. Lineage: Bacteria; Pseudomonadati; Pseudomonadota; Alphaproteobacteria; Hyphomicrobiales; Rhizobiaceae. The record is from RNAcentral.
GGGCAUUGGAGACGAUGUCCUUCAGUUAGGCUGGCCCCAGAACAGGUGCUGCAUGGCUGUCGUCAGCUCGUGUCGUGAGAUGUUGGGUUAAGUCCCGCAACGAGCGCAACCCUCGCCCUUAGUUGCCAGCAUUUAGUUGGGCACUCUAAGGGGACUGCCGGUGAUAAGCCGAGAGGAAGGUGGGGAUGACGUCAAGUCCUCAUGGCCCUUACGGGCUGGGCUACACACGUGCUACAAUGGUGGUGACAGUGGGCAGCGAGACAGCGAUGUCGAGCUAAUCUCCAAAAGCCAUCUCAGUUCGGAUUGCACUCUGCAACUCGAGUGCAUGAAGUUGGAAUCGCUAGUAAUCGCAGAUCAGCAUGC